GACGAACGCUGGCGGCGUGCUCAACACAUGCAAGUCGAGCGGUAAGGCCCUUUCGGGGGUACACGAGCGGCGAACGGGUGAGUAACACGUGGGUGACCUGCCCUUAGCUCUGGGAUAAGCCUGGGAAACUGGGUCUAAUACCGGAUAUGACUCCAUAACGCAUGUUGUGGGGUGGAAAGCCUUGUGCGGCUAGGGAUGGGCCCGCGGCCUAUCAGCUUGUUGGUGGGGUGAUGGCCUACCAAGGCGACGACGGGUAGCCGGCCUGAGAGGGCGACCGGCCACACUGGGACUGAGACACGGCCCAGACUCCUACGGGAGGCAGCAGUGGGGAAUCUUGCGCAAUGGGCGAAAGCCUGACGCAGCGACGCCGCGUGGGGA
This 378-nucleotide ribosomal RNA is filed under the name uncultured bacterium. RNAcentral describes it as "bacterial SSU rRNA". It matches the Rfam family "Bacterial small subunit ribosomal RNA", at positions 28 to 407 of the family's 1533-position model. The record is from RNAcentral.